This 434-nucleotide ribosomal RNA is filed under the name uncultured Lachnospiraceae bacterium. RNAcentral describes it as "partial 16S ribosomal RNA". It matches the Rfam family "Bacterial small subunit ribosomal RNA", at positions 341 to 792 of the family's 1533-position model. Lineage: Bacteria; Bacillati; Bacillota; Clostridia; Lachnospirales; Lachnospiraceae. The record is from RNAcentral.
ACGGAAGGCAGCAGUGGGGAAUAUUGGACAAUGGGCGCAAGCCUGAUCCAGCGACGCCGCGUGAGUGAAGAAGUAUUUCGGUAUGUAAAGCUCUAUCAGCAGGGAAGAUAAUGACGGUACCUGACUAAGAAGCCCCGGCUAACUACGUGCCAGCAGCCGCGGUAAUACGUAGGGGGCAAGCGUUAUCCGGAUUUACUGGGUGUAAAGGGAGCGUAGGCGGUUUGGCAAGUCUGAUGUGAAACCCCGGGGCUUAACCCCGGGCAUGCAUUGGAAACUGUCGGACUAGAGUGUCGGAGAGGAAAGCGGAAUUCCUAGUGUAGCGGUGAAAUGCGUAGAUAUUAGGAGGAACACCAGUGGCGAAGGCGGCUUUCUGGACGAUAACUGACGCUGAGGCUCGAAAGCGUGGGGAGCAAACAGGAUUAGAUACCCUGGUA